This 880-nucleotide long non-coding RNA is filed under the name Marmota monax (woodchuck). Lineage: Eukaryota; Metazoa; Chordata; Mammalia; Rodentia; Sciuridae. The record is from RNAcentral.
AAAGAAACCGUCUCUGACCACCCCACUCCUCCCUGUCCCACCCCUUGGAAGUUCCCCAUUGUCACUGAGAACCACCAAAUCUGACUUUUAUAUUUGGUCUCAGAAUUUAGGUUUCUGCCCUGGUCCCUUCCCACCCCCUCAUUGUUUGUUGUUGUUGUUUGUUUGUUUUUUGGGUUUUUUUUUUAACCAUUUCCAAAAGUUCUUAAAGGCAAGAGUGAAUUUCUGUGGAUUUACUGGUCCCAGCUUUUAGGUUCUUUAAGUCACUAACAGGACUGCAUAGAGGCUUUUUCAGCAUUACUGUAUGGUCUUCAUGCCAGAAUAUCACCAUUAGAAAUGGAAAUUAUAUUUGAAAGCCAUUAGACUUCUAGGUGAUGCACCUGAGAGAUUGAUCACACUUUAGAGGAAUAUAUGGUAUCAUUUUUUUCCUUUUUCUAAUCGUUUGAAUUUUAUACCAAUGUUUAAACUUAAUUGGAUGUUAGCUUGAGGUGGUUAAAGGUCCUUUGUGGGGAGGAUUUUUGCUAUGGUUUUGCUGUAAAAAGUGUUUCUAAUUGUGCUGAAAUGUUGCUGAAAAGCGUGGUGCUGGUAACAGUUCAACAAUCCGGGGCCACUCAUUCUUGCCUACUUUUACCCUCCCUCUGAAGCAUUGAAGGUGGUAUGAGAAGCCUGCAUGCGUGUUCAAUUCUUCUCCUUCUCUUUUCCCCUGCCUCCCCUACUCUCCUUUGCUUGCUCAACCUCUUUUGUUCAGUAUGUGUAACUUGAAGCUAUUUUGUACUACUGGAUAUCUGACUGGAGCCACAGACACAGAAUCUGUAUUGUUCUUACUGAAACACAGCAUGUAAUCAACAUUAAACUUAUAUAAAACAAACCCAAAUUUAAAAAG